CCCUUAGAUGCUCUGGGCCGCACGCGCGCUACACUGGUCGAUGCAACGAGUUUCUUUCCUUGGCCGACAGGCCUGGGCAAUCUUUGAACAUCGAUCGUGAUCGGGAUAGAUUCUUGUAAUUUUUGAUCUUAAACGAGGAAUUCCUAGUAAACGCAAGUCAUCAGCUUGCAUUGAUUACGUCCCUGCCCUUUGUACACACCGCCCGUCGCACCUACCGAUUGAAUGGUCCGGUGAAAUCUUCGGAUCUGAGAGAUGUCUGAUUAAUUUCGGACGCCUUUUGGAAAAGCUGCUUAAACCUUACCAUUUAGAGGAAGGUGAAGUCGUAACA
Molecule: ribosomal RNA, 328 nt
Filed under: uncultured eukaryote
Lineage: Eukaryota
Description: partial 18S ribosomal RNA
Rfam family: Eukaryotic small subunit ribosomal RNA
Source: RNAcentral